This 253-nucleotide ribosomal RNA is filed under the name uncultured bacterium. RNAcentral's name for it is "partial 16S ribosomal RNA". It matches the Rfam family "Bacterial small subunit ribosomal RNA", at positions 524 to 776 of the family's 1533-position model. The record is from RNAcentral.
GACGUAGGGCGCGAGCGUUGUCCGGAUUUAUUGGGCGUAAAGAGCUCGUAGGCGGCUUGUCGCGUCGGAUGUGAAAGCCCGGGGCUUAACUCCGGGUCUGCAUUCGAUACGGGCAGGCUAGAGUUCGGUAGGGGAGAUCGGAAUUCCUGGUGUAGCGGUGAAAUGCGCAGAUAUCAGGAGGAACACCGGUGGCGAAGGCGGAUCUCUGGGCCGAUACUGACGCUGAGGAGCGAAAGCGUGGGGAGCGAUCAGG